ACUCGGGCACGAUCCGGGCCCCGGCGUGACUCACGCUCCACGGCGAAUGAUACGUCGUAAAGCAGAAGUCCGCCCGCGCCGCCCGGAAGCGACCCGAAGUUCAAUCCUGAGGGA
This is a regulatory RNA element of Corynebacterium freneyi DNF00450, 114 nucleotides long. It matches the Rfam family "L31-Corynebacteriaceae ribosomal protein leader". NCBI's taxonomy places the organism in Bacteria, Bacillati, Actinomycetota, Actinomycetes, Mycobacteriales, Corynebacteriaceae. The record is from Rfam.